CCUACGGGUGACAGCAGUGAGGAAUAUUGGUCAAUGGGCGAGAGCCUGAACCAGCCAAGUCGCGUGAGGGAAGACGGUCCUAUGGAUUGUAAACCUCUUUUGCCGGGGAGCAAAAAGCGGUACGUGUACCGUAUCGAGAGUACCCGAAGAAAAAGCAUCGGCGAACUCCGUUCCAGCAGCCGCGGUAAUACGGAGGAUGCGAGCGUUAUCCGGAUUUAUGGGGUUUAAAGGGUGCGCAGACGGGGAGUUAAGUCAGAGGUAAAAUUUCGGGGCUCAACCCCGGACCUGCAUUUGAAACUGGUGGUCUUGAGUAUCGGAGAGGCAGGCGGAAUUCCUAGUGUAGCGGUGAAAUGCGUAGAUAUUAGGAGGAACACCAGUGGCGAAGGCGGCCUGCUGGACGACCACUGACGGUGAGGCGCGAAAGCGUGGGGAGCAAACAGGAUUAGAUACCCUGGUAGUC
RNAcentral lists this ribosomal RNA (460 nucleotides) under uncultured bacterium. Its description in RNAcentral is "partial 16S ribosomal RNA". It matches the Rfam family "Bacterial small subunit ribosomal RNA", at positions 338 to 795 of the family's 1533-position model. The record is from RNAcentral.